UACGUAGGGCGCAAGCGUUAUCCGGAAUUAUUGGGCGUAAAGGGCUCGUAGGCGGCCAACUAAGUCGGACGUGAAAUCCCCAGGCUCAACCUGGGAACUGCGUCCGAUACUGGAUGGCUUGGAUUCGGGAGAGGAAUGCGGAAUUCCAGGUGUAGCGGUGAAAUGCGUAGAUAUCUGGAGGAACACCGGUGGCGAAGGCGGCAUUCUGGACCGAUAUUGACGCUGAGGAGCGAAAGCCAGGGGAGCAAACGGG
RNAcentral lists this ribosomal RNA (253 nucleotides) under uncultured bacterium. RNAcentral describes it as "partial 16S ribosomal RNA". It matches the Rfam family "Bacterial small subunit ribosomal RNA", at positions 524 to 776 of the family's 1533-position model. The record is from RNAcentral.